GAUGAACGCUAGCUACAGGCUUAACACAUGCAAGUCGAGGGGAAACGAUGAGAGAGCUUGCUCUCUUAGGCGUCGACCGGGGCACGGGUGAGUAACGCGUAUCCAACCUACCCAUUACAGGGGGAUAACCUUGCGAAAGUAAGACUAAUAACCCAUGGCUUUUUAUGGUUGCAUCAUUAUAGGAUUCAACAUUUAUUGGUAAUGGCGGGGGAUGCGUCUGAUUAGCUUGUUGCCGGGGUAACGGCGCACGAAGGCAAGGAUCAGUAGGGGUUCUUGGAGGAAGGGCCCUCACAUUGGAACUGACACACGGGCCAAACUGCUACGGGAGGCAGUAGUGAGGAAUAUUGGUCAAUGGGCGAGUGCUCGAUCCAGCCAAGUAUCGUGCAGGAUGACCGCCCUAUGGGUUGUAAACUUCUUUUAUAGGGGAACAAAGUGAUCUACGUGUAGUUUAUUGCAUGUACCCUAUGAAUAAGGACCGGCUAAUUCCGUG
This 490-nucleotide ribosomal RNA is filed under the name uncultured bacterium. Its description in RNAcentral is "partial 16S ribosomal RNA". It matches the Rfam family "Bacterial small subunit ribosomal RNA", at positions 28 to 507 of the family's 1533-position model. The record is from RNAcentral.